GAUUGUAGCUCAGUGGUAGAGCGCUUGCCUCGCACUUGUGAGGCCCUGAGUUCAAUCCUCAGCACUACA
Molecule: transfer RNA, 69 nt
Filed under: Marmota monax (woodchuck)
Lineage: Eukaryota; Metazoa; Chordata; Mammalia; Rodentia; Sciuridae
Description: tRNA.Ala
Rfam family: tRNA (bases 4-64)
About the family: Transfer RNA (tRNA) molecules are approximately 80 nucleotides in length.
Source: RNAcentral